UGCUUGUUUACUUUUUUCUUCUUCUUCUUCUUCUUUUUCUUCUUCUUUUUUCUUGUUUUCUUCUUCUUCUUCUUCCUUUUCUUCUUCUUCUUCCUCUUCUUCUCUUCAUUCUCUUCUUUCUGUUUAUUAUUCCCUCUCUGAUUCAUUUUCUUCUCCUUUUUCCUUCUCAUAAUUAUUCUAUCUCGUCUUCACCCAUAUUCUUCCUCCUCCUCCUCCUCCUCCUCCUCCUCCUUCUCCUCCUCCUCCUCCUCCUCCUGAUGAACUUGAUUAAACCAGUAAGCCAGGCAGCCUCGUUGUAAUCCUCUAAUCUUUCUGUUGGCUGAUCUUCCACGUUUCCAGGUUUGCUCAUUCGUCAUACAGAUCACAUCCAGGCGCUGCGUCUUGCUCCCACCCAUUUAAAAGUAGCUGACUAAGUCUCUGUUUUCACACCUGUCUUUAUGAGUGAAAGUCGCAUAUGCAGAGUUUUCCUUCUCUUGUUUUAUUUUUUGUGGUGUUUAUCUUUGGCUAAUGAAUUUCUUGGAAGGGGCUUGACUCACCUUUAUUUUCACCUUUGUUUUCCUAGUGUGACUCUAUCCUGAGAGUGAAAGUAGCGAGUUAAGUUUUCCUUCUUUCGUUUAUUUUUAGUGUUUUCGUUCAAUGAGCCACUCACAAGGACCUAAAUUUACCUUUGUUUUCCUAAUGUUAUUGUAGUCAUCUUUAAGAGUGGAAGUAGCAUGUUAAGAGUUUUCCUUUUCUCUUUUGUUUUAGUGUUUUCGUUAACAUACUUAAUUAUUCACAAGUUUGAGCUUAAUUUAUCAUUGUUGUUUUAUCGUUCUAAGUUUUUGACUGAUAUAAAGAAUGUGGUGUGGCAGCCUUUUCUUCUUGCUCUUUAUUCUUUAUUCGAUUUCUUUCAGUGACUCACUCGGUCAUUGGGGAAAAAUGGUUUGCUUUUAUAGUGUUACGCACUUUUUUAUCUUUUCGGCUAAUAUUGUAAAAAUGUUGGUGGUGUGUUGAGAUUUUUUUUUUUUUCGUAUCAGUAUUCACAUUCCUUCUAUACUUCACUCAGCCACUUUGUCUUUAACCCUUGUUGUUGUUUUCUUUUUAGUUUUACUUUUGCGGGGGUCAUGUUUCUUAGGUUAGGUUAGGUUAGGUUAAAGGCCCCUCUUAGCAAAAUAAUGAGACAGAAUCAUCACUCACACAAACCAUUUCAUAAUAUAUAUCAACGCAUUUGUGAUCAGUUUAUGCAUCAUCUAUUUUGGGAGGUUUCUAUCAUGGCAGAAAUUUGGCCCAUCGCUGGUACACGGUAAAGCCACAAAUUUGGCCCGUCGCUGCUACCGGGUUAAAUAUGUUGGUGUUAUGAGUUUGCUUCUCGUUAUUGGUAUAUGUCUUCGUUCACUUGGUCGCUCAGUCCCUUUUUUUUUUUUUUUUUUUUCCUCGAUUAAUUUUUAUGAGAAUGUUGAUGUUAUGUCGCCUAUGUUUUUCUUCAUCAGUAUCUUUCUUUGUUCCUCACUCGCUCACUCUCUAGGAGCUGAAUUUAUCUGUUCUUUUUUCCAUUCAUUGUUUUCUUUUCGAUUUGUUUUUGUAUUCAAGUAUGCACGCGUUACGUCGUGAGCUUGUUAUUUUCUUUAUCACCGUCUGUCUUCGCUUCAUUAUUCACUCAGUCAACAAGAACUGAGUACCUUUUUGUUGUUUUCUUCACUUUUUACUUUCGAUUUGCUUUUAAAUGUGCGGGCGUUGUGUCGUGAGUGUUUCGUUACCAGCGUCUGUCUUCGUUUCAUUACUCAGUCAAUAGGAGCUUUUCGUCACUCUUUUUCAUUUGUUUCUUCACGUGCGGGUGUUAUGACGUGAGGGUUUCAACAUCAGCGUCUGUCUUCGUUUCAUUACUCAGUCAAUAGGAGCUUUUCGUCACUCUUUUUCAUUUGUUUCUUCACGUGCGGGUGUUAUGACGUGAGGGUUUCAACAUCAGCGUCUGUCUUCGUUUCAUUACUCAGUCAAUAGGAGCUUUUCGUCACUCUUUUUCAUUUGUUUCUUCACGUGCGGGUGUUAUGACGUGAGGGUUUCAACAUCAGCGUCUGUCUCCGUUUCAUUACUCAGUCAGGUAAUAGGAGCUCAGUGCGUUUGUGUUUUUUUCAAUCUUUUUUUUUAAUUUUGUUUUUAUAAGUGCAGGUGUUAAGUAGUCAGUGUUUCUUUAUCAGCGACUGUCUCCGUUCCAUUAAUCACUCAGACACUACUAAGAGCUGAGCUUAUCUUUGUUUGUUUUUUCAUUCUGUUUUUCUUUGACUUGCUUGAAUGUGGUCUGGGUCUGGGCAGGAUGGGUCUGGUCUGGGUUGGGUCUGGCCUGGGCAGGUUGGGUCUGGUCUGGGCAGGUUGAGUCUGGUCUGGGUUGGGUCUCGCCUGGGCAGGUUGGGUCUGGUCUGGGCAGGUUGGGUCCGGUCUGGGUUGGCUCUGCUCUGGGCAGGUUGGGUCUGGUCUGGGUUGGGUCUGGUCUGGGCAGGUUGGGUCUGGUCUGGGCAGGUUGGGUCUGGUCUGGGCAGGUUGGGUCUGGUCUGGGCAGGUUGGGUCUGGUCUGGGCAGGUUGGAUCUGGCCUGGGCAGGUUGGAUCUGGUCUGGGCAGGUUGGGUCUGGUCUGGGCAGGUUGGGUCUGGUCUGGGUUGGGUCUGGUCUGGGCAGGUUUGGUCUGGUCUGGUCUGGGCAGGUUUGGUCUGGUCUGAUCAGGUUGGAUUUGGUCUGGGCAAGUUAGGUUGUCAGGUUAGGUCUGGUAUGAGAAUGUUCGGCUGUCAGGUUUGGUCUGGUAUGGGCAGAUUGGGUUGUCGGGUUUGGUCUGGUCUGGGCAGGUUUGGUUAGGUUUGUUAGGUUUGGUCUGGUCUCGGAAGGUUAGGUUGUCGGGGUGGGUCUGGUCUGGGCAGGUUAGGUUAGUUGAUUGUCAGGUUAGGUCUGGUCUGGGCAGAUUAGAUUAGGAGGCUGGGUUUAGUCUGGGCAGGUUAGUUUUGCAGGUUGGGUCUGGUCUAGGCAGGUGAGGUUGGCAGGUUGGGCCUGGUCUGGACAGGUGAGGUUGGCAGGUUGGGUCUGGUCUGGACAGGUGAGGUUGGCAGGUUGGGUCUGGUCUGGACAGGUGAGGUUGGCAGCUUGGGUCUGGUCUAGGCAGGUGAGGUUGGCAGGUUGGGUCUGGUCUGGACAGGUGAGGUUGGCAGGUUGGGUCUGGUCUGGACAGGUGAGGUUGGCAGGUUGGGUCUGGUCUGGACAGGUGAGGUUGGCAGGUUGGGUCUGGUCUGGACAGGUGAGGUUGGCAGGUUGGGUCUGGUCUGGACAGGUGAGGUUGGCAGGUUGGGUUUAGUCUGGACAGGUGAGAUUGGCAGGUUGGGUCUGGUCUGGACAGGUGAGGUUUGCAGGGUGGGUCUGGUCUGGAGGUUGUCAGGUUUGGUCUGGUUUGGACAGGUGAGGUUGGCAGGUUGGGUCUGGUCUGGAGGUUUUCAGGUUUGGUCUGGUUUGGACGGGUGAAGUUGGCAGGUUGGGUCUGGUCUGGAGGUUUUCAGGUUUGGUCUGGUGUGGAGAUUGUCAGUUAGGUCUGGUCUGAAGGUUGUUAGUUAGAUCUGGUCUGGGCAGGUUAGGUCAGGUAAGCCAGGUAAGGUUUCCGGAAAACAAAAAUCCUGACACCUCUAAGAUCACGUGUUGCAUAGAUUAGGUAUGACACAAAAUUACACAAUAUUAGGUCCAGACCAGACCCAACCUGCCAACCUCACCUGCCUCGACCAGACCCAACCUGCCAACCUAACCUGCCCAGACCAGUCCCAACCUGCCCAGACUAAACCCAGCCUGCCAAUCUAAUCUGCCCAGACCAGACCUAACCUGACAAUCAACUAACCUAACCUGUCCAGGCCAGACCCACCCCGAUAACCUAACCUUCCGAGACCAGACCAAACCUAACAAACCUAACCAAACCUGCCCAGACCAGACCAAACCCACCCCGAUAACCUAACCUUCCGAGACCAGACCAAACCUAACAAACUUAACCAAACCUGCCCAAACCAGACCAAACCCGACAACCCAACCUACCCAUACCAUACCAAACCUGACCAAUCACACAGUAUUAGCAUUUUCUGUCAUAUUUUAGUGUCCGGAUAUUGAUGCUCGUUCAAGGGUGAAGGCCCAGCACUGAGGAACUUUUCUUCUCUAGUGUUUUAUUUAUUUUUUCCCUCAGUUUUCCAAUGGUGUCUUUGUCUCCUGCUCUGGUCAGGUGUUACAGAAGGGUUUCCUGGAAUCCUGUCUAGUUUUCAAGUUCAUUUAUCGUGGGAAGUCCGCUCACAUUUUUUUUCUUUUUCACUCGCUCACUUCCUCCUCAACUUUGACUCCUUUUCCCCUUACAUUUCCUCCUCCUCCUUCUUCUUCUUCAAUUCUUUUCCUUUUCUUCCAUCCCUCUUCUUUUUCUGCUUCUCUUUUCCUUCUUGUAAUGCAGAAAGCUUUGGAGGAAUUUGCUCUCUGGUUAUGCUCAUGCAAUUCUUUCUCUUUAAAACAUAACAGUAUCAUCUUGUGGGGUCUUUUUUUGUGUGUGUUGGUGUAAAAGCUUCAUUUUCUCUUUCUUCAUCUUCUUUUCAUCUUCUUUGUUUCUGAUUAUACUUUUUCUUUUGUUUCUGCUUCUUCAUCUUUUUUAUUAAUUUUAUCUCUUGUUUUGCUUCUUCUACUUCAUAUUUUUCCUACAUGGUAACUUUUUCUAACCUGUCUUCUUCGUUUCAAAAGCCAUGCCCAAAACUUUCCUUCUUUGCAGGUAAUCGACAGUUACGCGAGAUUUUCGGGGUAAAGUUUCCACACGUGUUCCAGGCGCGGCGGUGGGAGUUUUCCUUUGUGCGGCGGCGCGGGCGUGUGCUUGCGUCAUUGCCUCGUGUUCUGGGAGGCAGAGUCGGCGUGUCGGCAUCGUCCGGCGGAGCAUUUAAAGGUUACGUCAGGCCGCGGAUGAAAUUCUUAUCGCCGGAAAAGAUAACAUUAUCGCCUCAUGCUCACACUUCUCGCCUUCUUUUGUCUUUAUCUAUUGAUUUGAGGGUUUUAACACUUUCCCUUUCAAGGUUUUGGGGUGUCAUGGUGUUGUAUGGGUUAUGUAACACACACACACACACACACACACACACACACACACACACACACACACACCUGUCCUCUCACAUUUCAUGUCUAUGUACUGAAGGCUUUGAGUUUUCACUUUAAAUUUCUGUGGGCAUUAUGAUUAAUUAUUAUUGGAGCUGUCACACACACACACACACACACACACACACACACACACACACACACACACACACACACACACACGUGUCUUCCCGCCCUAACCUAACACCUGUGACACAACUGCCUCAACACAACACAAGUUCAACAAAGAAAUUACUCCAAGUUUCCCGUACUACUGCAGCUAUACACACACACACACACACACACACACACACACACACACACACACACACACCACACACACACACACACACACACACACACACACAGGUAAGAAAAACUCAACCCCCGCUACCUCAAACCUGGUAUGUGUUUAACGGGAAGAACAGGUAAACGUGA
Eriocheir sinensis (Chinese mitten crab) is the source of this 5532-nucleotide long non-coding RNA. RefSeq lists it as uncharacterized. The record is from RefSeq and is a predicted model, not a curated record. The transcript is spliced from 3 exons. Lineage: Eukaryota; Metazoa; Arthropoda; Malacostraca; Decapoda; Varunidae.